GGAAGAUUCGCAUAAUGGUAUUGCAGCAGUCUUGAAAACUGCCGGGGUAAUUCCCAUGAGAGUUCGAGUCCCUCAUCUUCCG
This 82-nucleotide transfer RNA is filed under the name Chlorobiota bacterium. Its description in RNAcentral is "Chlorobi bacterium tRNA-Ser". It matches the Rfam family "tRNA". From Rfam's summary of the family: Transfer RNA (tRNA) molecules are approximately 80 nucleotides in length. Their secondary structure includes four short double-helical elements and three loops (D, anti-codon, and T loops). Lineage: Bacteria; Pseudomonadati; Chlorobiota. The record is from RNAcentral. RNAcentral also lists the same sequence under 1 other name.